GCCGUCGUGGCACAACCUGGUACUGCGCCAGCCUGCUAAGCUGGUUUCCUUACGGAUAUCCCGGUUCAAAUCCGGGCGACGGCG
Molecule: transfer RNA, 84 nt
Filed under: Candidatus Woesearchaeota archaeon
Lineage: Archaea; Nanobdellati; Candidatus Woesearchaeota
Description: tRNA-Ser
Rfam family: tRNA
About the family: Transfer RNA (tRNA) molecules are approximately 80 nucleotides in length. Their secondary structure includes four short double-helical elements and three loops (D, anti-codon, and T loops). Further hydrogen bonds mediate the characteristic L-shaped molecular structure. tRNAs have two regions of fundamental functional importance: the anti-codon, which is responsible for specific mRNA codon recognition, and the 3' end, to which the tRNAs corresponding amino acid is attached (by aminoacyl-tRNA synthetases). tRNAs cope with the degeneracy of the genetic code in two manners: having more than one tRNA (with a specific anti-codon) for a particular amino acid; and 'wobble' base-pairing, i.e. permitting non-standard base-pairing at the 3rd anti-codon position.
Source: RNAcentral